RNAcentral lists this ribosomal RNA (586 nucleotides) under uncultured bacterium. Its description in RNAcentral is "partial 16S ribosomal RNA". It matches the Rfam family "Bacterial small subunit ribosomal RNA", at positions 355 to 1376 of the family's 1533-position model. The record is from RNAcentral.
UGGGGAAUCUUCCGCAAUGGACGAAAGUCUGACGGAGCAACGCCGCGUGAGUGAAGAAGGUUUUCGGAUCGUAAAACUCUGUCUUUUGGGGCGAACGUGAGUAUGGUGAACAAUCAUAGUCAGUGACGGUACCAAAGGAGGAAGCCACGGCUAACUACGUGCCAGCAGCCGCGGUAAUACGUAGGUGGCAAGCGUUGUCCGGAAUUAUUGGGCGUAAAGAGCGCGUAGGCGGGAUAGUCAGUCUGUUGUAAAGUGCGGGGCUCAACCCCGUGAUGCAAUGGAAACAGCUAUUCUUGAGUGCAGGAGAGGAAAGUGGAAUUCCCAGUGUAGCGGUGAAAUGCGUAGAUAUUGGGAGGAACACCAGUGGCGAAGGCGACUUUCUGGACUGUGUCUGACGCUGAGGCGCGAAAGCCAGGGGAGCGAACGGGAUUAGAUACCCCGGUAGUCCUGGCCGUAAACGAUGGGUACUAGGUGUGGGAGGUAUCGACCCCUUCCGUGCCGGAGUUAACGCAAUAAGUACCCCGCCUGGGGGUACGGUCGCAAGACUGAAACUUAAAUGAAUUGACGGGGUCAUAGCUGUUUCCUG